RNAcentral lists this long non-coding RNA (393 nucleotides) under Salvia miltiorrhiza (redroot sage). RNAcentral's name for it is "long non-coding RNA (SMIL_LNC005060)". The record is from RNAcentral. Lineage: Eukaryota; Viridiplantae; Streptophyta; Magnoliopsida; Lamiales; Lamiaceae.
CUGGGCAUGAGUAACCGUUUCCGUAGAUUGAUGGGGCCAUCAUUGCUGAGAUGUAUUGCUAGAUCGCGAAGCACGUCGUGCUGGUAAACGGAUAUCUCAUAGUACUGCUAUAUUUUUCUCCCGACCUGCAAAUAUGUGAGAUUCAGAAUUUCCAUUAUGAACAAAUUAAGUCGAUGCAAAUAUAUUAGUACUGUACCUAGCAUCUUUGACUAGUGUAAGCAGAUUCUUGUCGGAAAGCUGGACUAAUACAGUGAAGGCUUCUUCUUCAGGGAUGUCAUGAAGCUCCACCCACAUAUUGAUGAGAAUGUGAAGCGGGAUUCUCUUGUCUUCAGGGAAGGCACCCAAAUCCAAGAAACACAUCCUCUCCGUCUCAGACAGAUUGUCGAUGCUCAU